This 253-nucleotide ribosomal RNA is filed under the name uncultured bacterium. RNAcentral describes it as "partial 16S ribosomal RNA". It matches the Rfam family "Bacterial small subunit ribosomal RNA", at positions 524 to 776 of the family's 1533-position model. The record is from RNAcentral.
CACGUAGGGCGCAAGCGUUGUCCGGAAUUAUUGGGCGUAAAGAGCGCGUAGGCGGUCCGAUAAGUCGGCUGUGAAAGUCAUGGGCUCAACCCAUGAAAGCCGGCCGAUACUGUCGGACUAGAGUUCGGAAGAGGCGAGUGGAAUUCCUGGUGUAGCGGUGAAAUGCGCAGAUAUCAGGAAGAACACCCGUGGCGAAGGCGGCUCUCUGGAACGGUACUGACGCUGAGACGCGAAAGCGUGGGGAGCGAACAGG